ACAACAAGGGUUCGUGACGGACAUACCCCACAAGUGGAAACAAUUUGAUGUGGACGCCUGCCAGUGUCCAUAUCGCCCAUAGAGGGACGGGUUUGCUGGGCUCCUAGCUCACUUGCAGGGUCAUCUGAGCUCCCUUGUGAAAUAUGGAGGAUGUCCUUUCUGGAAAUAAUCAGUCGCCUUGGAAAAAGGAGGAGUACACUGCCCUCCUCUUCUUUGACGAUGAUAACCAAGUUGACCAAGUGUUGUCCUUCUUGUAAUUGGUUAAUUAAAAUGCAUGACAGUCGGAAUGUUUGCAGAUCAGGAAGCCAAUGUGAUGGAUGUACCAGAGGCAACAGUCCAAGCCCUGGCAGCUGUACACUGUGUUUCCCUUGAGUAGGCCAAGGAAAUAUACAAACCAGGACAAGAGUAUGACUGGAGUGAGAAACAACUGCUUGCCCACCAGCUCACCAAGAACCUGAGUGAAGAAGACCAAGAAAGACUUAAACAGUUUGAGG
Molecule: long non-coding RNA, 494 nt
Organism: Nerophis lumbriciformis (worm pipefish)
Lineage: Eukaryota; Metazoa; Chordata; Actinopteri; Syngnathiformes; Syngnathidae
Source: RefSeq, a predicted model, not a curated record